AAUGAACGCUGGCGGCAUGCCUAACACAUGCAAGUCGAGCGCAUCGAUGGGGGUCUUGCUCGGAUGACGUUAGCGCCGGAGGGGUCAUUCCCACUUGUAUGCCAUAGCUAUGGGAAUGGGAUAAUAAUGCGGGAUCCGACCUCAAACCGGAUGAUAUAUCGAACGGGGUUGGUCCAUCGUUAUAGACGGUUUUGCUGUCACUAACAGCUGGAUCCGCGCAGGAUCAGCUAGUGGGUGAGGUAACGGCUUACCAAGGCGACGAUGCGUAGCCGCCCUGACAGGGUGAUCAGCCACACUGUAUCUGAGACACGGUCCAGACUCCUACGGGAGGCAGCAGUAGGGAAUCUUACGCAAUGGGCGAAAGGCGGAUCGAGCAACGCCGCGUGAGUGAUGAAGGUCUUCGGAUCGUAAAUCUCUGUAAGUAGGGAGGAAGAAAAGUUCAUUAAACUGUGAACGUAUUGACGGUACCAAAAGAAAAAGCCCCGGCUAACUACGUG
This 497-nucleotide ribosomal RNA is filed under the name uncultured bacterium. RNAcentral's name for it is "partial 16S ribosomal RNA". It matches the Rfam family "Bacterial small subunit ribosomal RNA", at positions 29 to 507 of the family's 1533-position model. The record is from RNAcentral.